RNAcentral lists this ribosomal RNA (429 nucleotides) under Chloroflexota bacterium. RNAcentral describes it as "Chloroflexi bacterium partial 16S ribosomal RNA". It matches the Rfam family "Bacterial small subunit ribosomal RNA", at positions 355 to 776 of the family's 1533-position model. The record is from RNAcentral. Lineage: Bacteria; Bacillati; Chloroflexota.
UAGGGAAUCUUCGGCAAUGGACGAAAGUCUGACCGAGCAACGCCGCGUGAGUGAAGAAGGUUUUCGGAUCGUAAAACUCUGUUGUUAGAGAAGAACAAGGACGUUAGUAACUGAACGUCCCCUGACGGUAUCUAACCAGAAAGCCACGGCUAACUACGUGCCAGCAGCCGCGGUAAUACGUAGGUGGCAAGCGUUGUCCGGAUUUAUUGGGCGUAAAGCGAACGCAGGCGGUUUCUUAAGUCUGAUGUGAAAGCCCCCGGCUCAACCGGGGAGGGUCAUUGGAAACUGAGGGACUUGAGUGCAGAAGAGGAGAGUGGAAUUCCAUGUGUAGCGGUGAAAUGCGUAGAUAUAUGGAGGAACACCAGUGGCGAAGGCGGCUCUCUGGUCUGUAACUGACGCUGGGGCUCGAAAGCGUGGGGAGCAAACAGG